Molecule: long non-coding RNA, 1546 nt
Filed under: Zea mays
Lineage: Eukaryota; Viridiplantae; Streptophyta; Magnoliopsida; Poales; Poaceae
Description: long non-coding RNA (ZMAY_LNC004316)
Source: RNAcentral
UUUGUACAUGAGUUAUCAUAAUAUUUUAUCUUCCCGUUGCAACGCACGGGCAUCCACCUAGUAUAUAUAUAUGGCAAUAGCAAAGACUACCAAAAGUUCAGGGGUAACAAGGUGUAAAGAUAACCAAACUAGGGUGACCUAUUGGGUCCCAUCAAAAUUAAGCCUAUGCAUGCCAAAAUGAUUACAGAGAACAUUAUUGGGUAAAUAGAUGUGAUCAAGGGCACAACAUGCCUGGGACUCGAGAUUCCAGGUACCAACUUGCUCUUCAAGUGACUCGUGACCUCGCGCUAGUCAUAGCAAUACAAACAAACAUGGUAUAGGCAAAAUUAAUAUUACACCAAACAUAAUCAAAAGUUACACAAGAGUAUUCUUCGUGAUGCUAUGGGAGUGUGGGUUUGGGAACCACUAAAAUCGGAGUUAUGGUUAAUAAGAUAUGGUUUUCUGAAGUUUUAGGUGAUUAAAUAGCGAAUCAUGUUUUAUGUUGAUUAUCAUAAACUAUGAGAGAAAAGUUUACAAGAACAUAGCCAAUUGAACUUUAAUCUCAGUUAUAGCUUCAUUUGAGACCAUAUUUUAGCUAAUUUAUAAUUAUGGACAAGUUGACUUGACUAGAUUGACUAAUCAACUAACAUAAGCUAAAUAAAUAGCCAAUUACAAAAGUAUGAGGAAGGUUAAGAAUAAUGUUUUAAUGUGUAAAUAAUUUUAUUACGAAGUUUACGCAAUUUGAACGGAUCCAAUCAGAGUUAAAAUGAAUUAAUUAUGAGUUAAACAAGAUUCUAGAAUUAUUAAAAUUCAUUUUAGAAUUAAUUUUAUUAUUAAACAUAAAUUCCUGGACCACGAUCGAAAUCCCUUAGAAUUCCAGGGUGCUAUCUAAAAAGAAAUGGUCUAAUCUGUAAUUAUUUUUGCAUUCAGUAGGAUGGUGGGUUAAUUUGUCAAAUGUGUAGGGGCUCUUUAGCAAUACUACCCCGGCUGUCUACACACGCGCGAUCCCAAGCCCUUAGAUCAUCAUCGGACGACCCAAAACACAUCCGAACCGGUAUGCGCCGCUGGCCACAUGAUUCUGGAUCAAUGGAGAGGAUUGAAUCGGCGAAAGGUUAAGUUGGUUUUAAUAUCGAUCGUUGGCUGAGGGCUCAACGGCAUCCGCGCCCAACCCAUUAAAACGUGACAACCAGAGGCGGCGCCGCCUGCUCACACGGCGGGGAACCCGCCGGCAACCGCACCAUGGCCCCCCAGGUGAUAAUUUCUUCCCCCAGAAACGCGCUACAUAAUGUGGAGGUCGGGGCGAACUUGAGAAUGGUGGAUUUACCGUCGGAGGUGUUGGGAUUUGGGGUGCCCACGGUGUGACGCGGCUUCGCGGCGGUGCCCUGACUUAGGAGAGAAAUUCAUCGCGGUCCGAGGCUUCUCUAUGAUCCGUGUUUGUCGUGUGCAGUUUCCAAGCGACGCGAGCGACCCUCCUUAACAACCACCAAGAGGUUGGUGCCUGCGCAGGCCCGAAUCGACCAUGGCCGUGAUUCCGGACACCCCCCGACUCCUACUUGCUCGAUCCUGG